RNAcentral lists this transfer RNA (59 nucleotides) under Fusarium pseudograminearum CS3220. RNAcentral's name for it is "tRNA-Ser". Lineage: Eukaryota; Fungi; Ascomycota; Sordariomycetes; Hypocreales; Nectriaceae. The record is from RNAcentral. RNAcentral also lists the same sequence under 4 other names.
GGCUACGCCGGGAAUCGUUAACUUUCAAGCCGCCUCUUCUAAAGGUGGGCAAGGCAAAG